UGGUGACUGGCAGUGGCUCCA
Molecule: microRNA, 21 nt
Filed under: Eptesicus fuscus (big brown bat)
Lineage: Eukaryota; Metazoa; Chordata; Mammalia; Chiroptera; Vespertilionidae
Description: efu-miR-9202
Source: miRBase by way of RNAcentral